RNAcentral lists this unclassified non-coding RNA (666 nucleotides) under Arthroderma quadrifidum. RNAcentral's name for it is "sequence contains 18S rRNA gene, ITS1, 5.8S rRNA gene, ITS2, 28S rRNA gene". The stretch from base 287 to 440 matches the Rfam family "5.8S ribosomal RNA". Lineage: Eukaryota; Fungi; Ascomycota; Eurotiomycetes; Onygenales; Arthrodermataceae. The record is from RNAcentral.
UCGUAACAAGGUUUCCGUAGGUGAACCUGCGGAAGGAUCAUUAAAGCGUUGCCGACGUCGGCCCCGGCCGUUCGGCUUGAAAUAUAGCCUGGACGGUGCUGGAGGUCGCCGGCAGUUGCCCAUUCUUGCCUACUGACCCAGUUGCCUCGGCGAGCCGUGCCACUCGUGGCAGACCGGAAGCCGUUUGAACCCCUAGGGCUCAGGCGGCCCUGGCCAGUGCCCGCCGACGGACAGACUUAAAAUCUUUAUAUAUUGGCCGUCUGAGCGUAUAAAGCAAAUCAAUUAAAACUUUCAACAACGGAUCUCUUGGUUCCGGCAUCGAUGAAGAACGCAGCGAAAUGCGAUAAGUAAUGUGAAUUGCAGAAUUCCGUGAAUCAUCGAAUCUUUGAACGCACAUUGCGCCCCCUGGUAUUCCGGGGGGCAUGCCUGUUCGAGCGUCAUUGCAACCCUCAAGCUCGGCUUGUGUGAUGGGCGACCGUCCUUCCCCUAGGGGCGGGACGCGUCCGAAAAGCAGUGGCUAGGCCGCGAUUCCGGCGCCUGAGCGAAUGGGACUUCCACCGCUUCUAGGACCGGCCGGCACUUGGCCUUUAAACACGGUCUUAACUGACCAUCUAGGUUGACCUCGGAUCAGGUAGGGAUACCCGCUGAACUUAAGCAUAUCAAUAA